Molecule: non-coding RNA, 94 nt
Organism: Nicotiana sylvestris (wood tobacco)
Lineage: Eukaryota; Viridiplantae; Streptophyta; Magnoliopsida; Solanales; Solanaceae
Source: Rfam
UGGACAGAUUAUUGUAUUCGACUGUAUUCACGACAUGAAACAUGGGAUUACUGUUUUUAAACGGAAAGUGAAUCAAUUAACAUAAUAGACUCCU